GGGAGAUAGCUUAGUUGGUAGAGUGCUUGCCUUGCAUGCAUGAGGCCCUGGGUUCAAUCCCCAGCAUCACACA
RNAcentral lists this transfer RNA (73 nucleotides) under Marmota monax (woodchuck). Its description in RNAcentral is "tRNA.Ala". The stretch from base 7 to 64 matches the Rfam family "tRNA", at positions 8 to 63 of the family's 71-position model. From Rfam's summary of the family: Transfer RNA (tRNA) molecules are approximately 80 nucleotides in length. Their secondary structure includes four short double-helical elements and three loops (D, anti-codon, and T loops). Further hydrogen bonds mediate the characteristic L-shaped molecular structure. tRNAs have two regions of fundamental functional importance: the anti-codon, which is responsible for specific mRNA codon recognition, and the 3' end, to which the tRNAs corresponding amino acid is attached (by aminoacyl-tRNA synthetases). tRNAs cope with the degeneracy of the genetic code in two manners: having more than one tRNA (with a specific anti-codon) for a particular amino acid; and 'wobble' base-pairing, i.e. permitting non-standard base-pairing at the 3rd anti-codon position. The record is from RNAcentral. Lineage: Eukaryota; Metazoa; Chordata; Mammalia; Rodentia; Sciuridae.